CCUUCGAUAGUUGGUAGAACGGAGGGCUGUAGUUGUUGACAGAAAUAAUCCCUAUGUCACUGGUUCGAAUCCAGUUUGAAAUA
Molecule: non-coding RNA, 83 nt
Organism: Paramuricea clavata
Lineage: Eukaryota; Metazoa; Cnidaria; Anthozoa; Malacalcyonacea; Plexauridae
Source: the annotation of a GenBank genome assembly